Molecule: non-coding RNA, 451 nt
Organism: Schizosaccharomyces pombe (fission yeast)
Lineage: Eukaryota; Fungi; Ascomycota; Schizosaccharomycetes; Schizosaccharomycetales; Schizosaccharomycetaceae
Source: the annotation of a GenBank genome assembly
UUUUUGAGUGAUUUCAGUUAGAUCAAAACAGGUCAUAAAGCGACUUCACCGUGAUUGCACAGUUUGAUAAUAGUUUAACUGUUAUCCUAUUUUCAUUUAUUUCGUUAAUUGUCCAAAGUCAGUUUUUUGCUGAGUGCCUGAAUCAAUAAGAGGUAAAAAUUGCCUUUGUGUUUCCUUAAAAGCGUUUUCAAUUAACUGUUGCUUAACAUCAGUUAAACGGUUACUUAAUCAGACGUAUCAUUGUAUUUGAAUUUAUUGUGCCUGCUUUAUUCUGAGUAUGGAUGCCGGAGUCCAGUACAAAUUCUCAGCUAAGUGGUUGGUUUUUAUUACUAAUAAUCUUCUUUAAAGCUGCGAUAAGUUCUGCAUAACUUGCCUACUCUUUUGCAUUUUGGUACAAUUGUUCUAUGCUCUGAUACGUUUUGUUAAUUGUCAAUAUUUAUUGCACGUUCCU